RNAcentral lists this ribosomal RNA (497 nucleotides) under uncultured bacterium. RNAcentral describes it as "partial 16S ribosomal RNA". It matches the Rfam family "Bacterial small subunit ribosomal RNA", at positions 28 to 507 of the family's 1533-position model. The record is from RNAcentral.
GACGAACGCUGGCGGCGUGCCUAAUACAUGCAAGUAGAACGCUGAAGAGAGGAGCUUGCUCUUCUUGGCUGAGUUGCGAACGGGUGAGUAACGCGUAGGUAACCUGCCUUGUAGCGGGGGAUAACUAUUGGAAACGAUAGCUAAUACCGCAUAACAAUGGAUGACCCAUGUCAUUUAUUUGAAAGGGGCAAAUGCUCCACUACAAGAUGGACCUGCGUUGUAUUAGCUAGUAGGUGAGGUAACGGCUCACCUAGGCGACGAUACAUAGCCGACCUGAGAGGGUGAUCGGCCACACUGGGACUGAGACACGGCCCAGACUCCUACGGGAGGCAGCAGUAGGGAAUCUUCGGCAAUGGGGGCAACCCUAACCGAGCAACGCCGCGUGAGUGAAGAAGGUUUUCGGAUCGUAAAGCUCUGUUGUAAGUCAAGAACGAGUGUGAGAGUGGAAAGUUCACACUGUGACGGUAGCUUACCAGAAAGGGACGGCUAACUACGUG